Molecule: ribosomal RNA, 472 nt
Filed under: uncultured bacterium
Lineage: Bacteria
Description: bacterial SSU rRNA
Rfam family: Bacterial small subunit ribosomal RNA
Source: RNAcentral
UGGGGAAUAUUGGACAAUGGGCGAAAGCCUGAUCCAGCCAUGCCGCGUGUGUGAAGAAGGUCUUCGGAUUGUAAAGCACUUUAAGUUGGGAGGAAGGGCAGUAAGCUAAUACCUUGCUGUUUUGACGUUACCGACAGAAUAAGCACCGGCUAACUCUGUGCCAGCAGCCGCGGUAAUACAGAGGGUGCAAGCGUUAAUCGGAAUUACUGGGCGUAAAGCGCGCGUAGGUGGUUUGUUAAGUUGGAUGUGAAAGCCCCGGGCUCAACCUGGGAACUGCAUCCAAAACUGGCAAGCUAGAGUACGGUAGAGGGUGGUGGAAUUUCCUGUGUAGCGGUGAAAUGCGUAGAUAUAGGAAGGAACACCAGUGGCGAAGGCGACCACCUGGACUGAUACUGACACUGAGGUGCGAAAGCGUGGGGAGCAAACAGGAUUAGAUACCCCUGUAGUCCCUGAGCGGGCUGGCAAGGCGCAU